This 490-nucleotide ribosomal RNA is filed under the name uncultured bacterium. RNAcentral's name for it is "partial 16S ribosomal RNA". It matches the Rfam family "Bacterial small subunit ribosomal RNA", at positions 29 to 507 of the family's 1533-position model. The record is from RNAcentral.
AUUGAACGCUGGCGGCAGGCCUAACACAUGCAAGUCGAACGGUAACAGGAAGAAGCUUGCUUCUUUGCUGACGAGUGGCGGACGGGUGAGUAAUGUCUGGGAAACUGCCUGAUGGAGGGGGAUAACUACUGGAAACGGUAGCUAAUACCGCAUAACGUCGCAAGACCAAAAAGGGGGACCUUCGGGCCUCUUGCCAUCGGAUGUGCCCAGAUGGGAUUAGCUGGUGGGUGGGGUAACGGCUCACCUAGGCGACGAUCCCUAGCUGGUCUGAGAGGAUGACCAGCCACACUGGAACGUAGACACGGCCCAGACCCCUACGGGAGGAACAAGUGGGGAAUUUUGGAAAAUGGGGGAAAGCCGGAUGAAGCAAGGCGGCGUGUAGAAAGAAGGCUUUCGGGUUGUAAAGCACUUCCGGGGGGAAGGAAGAGGAAAGUUCAAACACCUCGGCUCGUUGACGUUACCCGAAGAAGAAGCACCGGCUAACCCGGUG